Solanum stenotomum is the source of this 1095-nucleotide long non-coding RNA. RefSeq lists it as uncharacterized. NCBI's taxonomy places the organism in Eukaryota, Viridiplantae, Streptophyta, Magnoliopsida, Solanales, Solanaceae. The record is from RefSeq and is a predicted model, not a curated record. The transcript is spliced from 2 exons.
CGACCCGGUAAGGCAUUUCCAUUGUUUUGCUAACUGAGGUCUGCAGCCAUGGCAGUUGCUUUGUCUCCUUUUUGCUUGAUUUUAUCUCACAGAUCUGAGCCUCAAGAAAAAGACCCGUUUCUGUUUUUGCAAGUAAUUACUUGUGAACCCCUUUUUGAUAGGUUAACUCAUAAUGAGGCUGCAGAGACAGUAAUGGGAUUUCUAUUUAAGGGUGGUUGCCCUUCUCUCUGCUUUGCCUAUGAUUCUUCCAUUUUUGAACAAACCAACAGCCCUUAAAAAAGAGAAAGAGAGAAAGAUGAAGUACACACUAGUUUCUGUUGUUUUCUUUCUUCCGGUCAUUUAGGUUCUGGACUGUGAUUUUCUUGAGCUGAGGCCUGUUGGAAACAACUUCUCUAGUCCCCCACAAAGGACCGGGGUAAGGUCUAUGUACCCUUGCUAGCUUUUAAUUAUAGGAUGAGGCUGUGAUGAUAACAAAUGAAGUUGUAUAGAGUUGGGUUGGGCAUUGGAGCUGCACGUAUCUUGGCGGGGCAACCCAGUAAGGUAUUCCAUUUUGCAACUGAGGUCUGCUGCCAUGGCGAUUGAUUUGUCUCCUUUUGCCUGGUUUUAUAACAAAUCUGAGCCUCAGGAGAAAGAAUUAGCCGAAAGAUGCUUGAAGUCUUGUGAUUUCCCUUUUGUUAGGUUAGCCUAAAAACGGCAAGAAUGAGGCAGCAGAGAGUAUGGGAUUUCUAUCAAGGGUGGUUGCCCUUCUCUUUAUGCUUUACUUAUGAUUCUCCAUUUCUCAAAACAAACCAACAGCCCUUUAAAAAGAAAGAGACAGAGAGAGUACAAUUGAGUUUCUGGGUUUCUUUGCAUUUUGCACCCUUAAACGUAUGCUCAUAAGGCAAUACGCACAACUAUACUACAACAACAACAACAAUAAAAUGACUAUGAAAACUAUUAAAGAGGCAGUGAUGAUUUCUGGGCUAACCAAAUUCCGGGCAUGGAGAUUAUCCAACCUGUAUCUUGGCGUGACAACCCGGUUUGGCCUGUAAUUGAGACGCAUAACUCACACAUGCAAUCGUGUGUUGCAGCCAUGGCAUGGUUGGCUUCUCUUUU